RNAcentral lists this ribosomal RNA (253 nucleotides) under uncultured bacterium. Its description in RNAcentral is "partial 16S ribosomal RNA". It matches the Rfam family "Bacterial small subunit ribosomal RNA", at positions 524 to 776 of the family's 1533-position model. The record is from RNAcentral.
UACGUAGGGUGCGAGCGUUGUCCGGAAUUAUUGGGCGUAAAGAGCUUGUAGGCGGUUUGUCGCGUCUGCUGUGAAAUUUCGGGGCUCAACCCCGAACUUGCAGUGGGUACGGGCAGACUAGAGUGUGGUAGGGGAGACUGGAAUUCCUGGUGUAGCGGUGAAAUGCGCAGAUAUCAGGAGGAACACCGAUGGCGAAGGCAGCUUUCUGGUCUAAGACUGACGCUGAGGCACGAAAGCGUGGGGAGCAAACAGG